Molecule: long non-coding RNA, 461 nt
Filed under: Ananas comosus (pineapple)
Lineage: Eukaryota; Viridiplantae; Streptophyta; Magnoliopsida; Poales; Bromeliaceae
Description: long non-coding RNA (ACOM_LNC013660)
Source: RNAcentral
GAGCCUGCAUUGGAGAAGGAUAAGGAAAGGGACAAGUCCAAGAAGCGGGCAUCUAGUGGACCCGCGGGGUAGUCGAGCUCCAAGCGACCCCCGCGGCAACAGUGAUCGCAGUGGCGGGGAGGCAAGAGUCAGACUCAGAGCCAGACUACCUACCCGUGCGUGAUAUGUGGCGGAGACCACCGAGUUACUACUUGCCCACAGCGGGAGGGGCGGUGUUACCGAUGCGGCCAACCGGGACACAUAGGCCGAGAGUGCCCGGGCAGCGCAUCCCCAGCUCCGUCAUCAGCUUUAGUUCAGUACACUCAGCGACAGCUGGCAGGACUGCCACCCGCUACAUUUGCUGGACGAUCGUCGGCGCCUCGUCAGCCGGAGGCCUCUCGAGCGCCUAGUGGGCGGGUAUUUGCCACUCAGGUGGAGGAGCCGUCGAUUACCGUUCCCGACGACGUAGUGGCAGGUAUUAU